RNAcentral lists this small RNA (154 nucleotides) under Lonchura striata (white-rumped munia). Its description in RNAcentral is "domestica (Bengalese finch) TUC338 (ENSLSDG00000017217.1)". The record is from RNAcentral. Lineage: Eukaryota; Metazoa; Chordata; Aves; Passeriformes; Estrildidae.
UUGACAAGCCCAGAGAAUGAAGUCCUGUUCCCAUCCAAAGAGCAGAUACCCUGCACAGUACAAGUUCUCCCACUUCCACCUCAAUCUGUUCUGACGUCAUGUCUAGAACUGAGAAAGUUGCUCAGUCUCCUCAGCCAUUCAAUCAUACUAUUCU